UGAGAUUAAAGUUUGUUUCACUAUUAUAUCUUUUCAUGAUCCAUAAUCUGAAAAAUUCCGUAGGGUCAGCAGUGCAACUGUUUGAUCAUGAAAGAAGAAUAAUGGGAAAAGAAAGUAGCCUAUCUACAUCAGCACAGAUAAAAUCACAUUGGCUGGCUGAUAUUUGUACAAUACAAGAAAGGUAGUAUCCAUUAGUAGACUUCCACAUUCCAUUUCUCUCCUUUUUUCAACUGCUUUUUGUAAUCUAUCCAGUCAAUACCUAUAAAAUCAGAACAAGAACAGAUUAUUGCCUAAGCUUUUAUAGAUGUCAUUGCCCUAGAAUGUGCAAAACAAAAAGCAACUGUUGAGCAUAACUACUCUCUCCCGUUUUAACAGCUCACUAAGUUCACUCUCCAUUUCUAUUGUUAUGCACCAUACCUGUUUCACCCACCCGUAAAAUUGUAUGAAGUCAGGGUAGUGGCAAAUGAACACCGACUAGAGAUACUUACAUAUUGAGCAUCCUAAACCGGAAAGGGAAUGAGCAAAAUUAAUACCACACUGCUUUUCUUUUCGUAUUAUUCCUCCUAACGCUUCUAACUUAAGCAUGGGAGAUUAUUAUUUGUUUUGCGUAAUGAGGCGACCAACUUCAGCGAAAAUUGCAUCAGCGCUACUAUGGAAAUAUAGGGUACUAAAAUUACCUUCUUUAGCAGCCAAUGAACACAUUAUAUCAUCAAUUCCCUUUUCCAUGCCCUUGAGUCCACACAUGUACACAUAUGUGUUGUCUUUCUUGAGCAAUUCCCAUAGUUCUUCAGCAUAUUGAGCCAUCCGAGUCUGGAUGUACAUUUUCUCACCUUUCUCAUUUGUUUGUU
Molecule: long non-coding RNA, 848 nt
Filed under: Olea europaea (common olive)
Lineage: Eukaryota; Viridiplantae; Streptophyta; Magnoliopsida; Lamiales; Oleaceae
Description: long non-coding RNA (OEUR_LNC003840)
Source: RNAcentral